Molecule: long non-coding RNA, 426 nt
Organism: Symphalangus syndactylus (siamang)
Lineage: Eukaryota; Metazoa; Chordata; Mammalia; Primates; Hylobatidae
Source: RefSeq, a predicted model, not a curated record
UCUGCCACCCCAGCUAAACCACUUGACCUUCGAUUACAUAACAGUCCCCAUCUGUGAGCUCAGCCAUCCUCAGGAGAUAGGAGGGGCCAUGAGAAGCUCAAGUUCACCAUGAGCCACAGCAGUAAGCCAUGCUUUAGCCUCUGACCUGUGCUCCAAUUUUGGUACAAUGAUUUCUGCCAUGUUCUCCAACAGAAAAGGAACUGCAUGUGUUUUUCUGCCUCUUCCAGAUAUAUGUCAUAAAAGUUGGAUGCCUUCCUUUUAAGACAUUUGAAUGGAUCACCAAAUAAUUACCUACUUUUCUCUCACAACUCAGAUAAAUAAUUAAAAGGAGAUACACACAGAUUGAUUGCAUACUUAAGAGUGAGAAUCAAUUAAAACAAAAUUGUACGCAUGUUCUUCCAAUAAUAUAUCCCUACAGGGACCGUG